GGCAGAUUAUUGUGGCAUGGCCAGGCGAGAGUAGCACGCUUCCACCGUGUUUUGACAUCCUCGUUAUGACGAUGCAUGGCCUUCUUGUUAAACAUGUGUCAAUCAAGAUUUUCUUGAUUUCUUCGGUACAACUACUUACUUGACCCAACUGGUUGAGCACUUGGUGGCGGAAUUCUCUCGAAUUGACUUCACCCUCAGAACAAUGAUCAAGGAGUGGAGUUAUUCGUCAAACUGUAUUAUACUUGUGAUGGAAUUAGAGUCGUUUUCUUGUAAAUAUGGGUUUUCCUGAUGAUGUUAAAUUGUAGAGCUGUAUUUAUUGAAUUGUAUUUCUUUCUUGGGAUCACAAGGAGCCUAGAUUGCAUUUCCUCAGCAGCAUCUGUAGCGGCCCCUGUGGAGUGAGCUAGGUGAAAGUGGUAUAGUGGAGAAGCUUAUAUGGGAAGUUGCAGUGAGUUUUAGGCCCUAACUUUGUACAGCGCACACAUUCCAAUUCCUGAAUUAUGCUGAAACAUAAGUGAGAUUUAUUCCUUUCUUGGCAAGUUAAGUCCAACAAUA
Nicotiana tabacum (common tobacco) is the source of this 552-nucleotide non-coding RNA. Lineage: Eukaryota; Viridiplantae; Streptophyta; Magnoliopsida; Solanales; Solanaceae. The record is from RefSeq and is a predicted model, not a curated record.